AGCUCCAAUAGCGUAUAUUAAAGUUGUUGCGGUUAAAAAGCUCGUAGUUGGAUUUCUGCUGAAGCAAACCGGUCCGCCCUCUGGGUGAGCAUCUGGCUUUAUUUUGGCAUAUGUUUGGACUUUGCAGCUGCACUUGACUGUGUGGUGUGAAGGCCAAGCCAUUUACUUUGAGGAAAUCAGAGUGUUUCAAGCAGGCAAUUGCCUUGAAUACAUUAGCAUGGAAUAAUAUGAUAUGACUGUGGUUUUAUUUUGUUGGCUUCUAGGAUUGGAGUAAUGAUUAAUAGGGAUAGUUGGGGGCAUUCAUAUUUAACUGUCAGAGGUGAAAUUCUUGGAUUUGUUAAGGAUGAACGACUGCGAAAGCAUUUGCCAAGGAUGCUU
This 378-nucleotide ribosomal RNA is filed under the name uncultured eukaryote. RNAcentral describes it as "SSU rRNA". It matches the Rfam family "Eukaryotic small subunit ribosomal RNA", at positions 587 to 969 of the family's 1831-position model. The record is from RNAcentral.